GAGGGUAUAGUUCAGUUGUAGAGCGUGUGCUUCGCAUGCACGAGGUCCUGAGUUCAAUCCCCAGCACCUCUG
RNAcentral lists this transfer RNA (72 nucleotides) under Camelus ferus (Wild Bactrian camel). It matches the Rfam family "tRNA". Rfam says of the family: Transfer RNA (tRNA) molecules are approximately 80 nucleotides in length. Lineage: Eukaryota; Metazoa; Chordata; Mammalia; Artiodactyla; Camelidae. The record is from Rfam by way of RNAcentral.